Molecule: RNA transcript, 1935 nt
Organism: Papaver somniferum (opium poppy)
Lineage: Eukaryota; Viridiplantae; Streptophyta; Magnoliopsida; Ranunculales; Papaveraceae
Gene name: polyamine oxidase-like
Exons: 9
Source: RefSeq, a predicted model, not a curated record
UGAGUGGAUUAGAAAUCAACAAGGUAAACAAUUGAGAUUCUGAACUUCAGAGAGAGGGCAAGAGACUGAGAGAUAUGGGAAAGAGAGCAUUGCUUUCCGUUCUCCUACUUGUGGUAAUAAUCGAUCACUGCACGCCAGGAAACGUGGCUACAGAGACUGCUAGUUCGACUGUCAUUGUGGUAGGAGCUGGCAUGUCCGGUAUAUCGGCUGCUAAGAGAUUAUCGGACGCAGGAAUAAAGGAUAUUUUGGUAUUAGAAGCAACUGACAGAAUUGGUGGUCGUAUUAAGAAAACAAAUUUUGCAGGCUUAUCUGUAGAGUUGGGAGCUAAUUGGGUCGAAGGUGUUAACGGGAACAAAGUUAAUCCUAUUUGGACUAUGGCUAACAAGAUUGGCCUCAAAACCUUCUAUUCUCAAUGGAACAAUAUUUCAGCGAACAUUUACAAACAAAAAGGUGGGCUUUAUAACGUAUCAGUGGCUGAGAAAGCAUACAACUCCAUGAACGAACUUUACGAAUUCAGCAGAAAUUGUUCAGUUUUAUUAUCUAGACAUAGGGAAGAAGAUAUCUCAGUCUUGGUGUCCCAACGGUUAAAUAACAAAAUUCCAUCAACACCUCUCGAGAUGGCGAUUGACUACUUUUCCUGCGACUCCAGCUUUGGGGAGCCACCCAGGGUCACUAGUUUGCAGAACACACAACCAUUGCCAACUUAUACAAAUUUCGGAGAGGAUAGCUAUUUCGUUGCAGAUUCCAGGGGAUAUGAGAGUGUGGUUCAUUACAUUGCCAAGAAAUUUCUUAAAACAAAUAAGGCUGGAGAAAUUAGCGAUCCUCGACUUAAACUAAACAAGGUUGUGACAGAGAUACAAUAUUCACGAAACGGAGUUGUUGUUAAGACAGAAGAUGGCAAAGCAUAUGGAACGGCCUAUGUGAUGGUCUCUGUUAGUAUUGGUGUUCUUCAAACUAACCUCAUCAACUUCGUUCCUGAUCUGCCGUAUUCCAAGUUGUUGGCGAUAUAUCAGUUUGACAUGUCUAUAUACACCAAGAUUUUUCUCAAGUUCCCCUACAAGUUCUGGCCAACUGGUAACGGCACCGAGUCUUUCAUUUAUGCCCACGAGAAACGUGGUUACUACACAGAUUGGCAGCAUUUGGAGACUGAGUACCCGGGAGCCAAUAUCCUUUUAGCAACAGUAACUGACGACGAAUCAAGAAGAAUAGAGCAACAAUCCAACUCACAGACAAAAGAAGAAAUCAUGGAUGUAUUGAGAAACAUGUUCGGGAAGAACAUCCCAGACGCCACAGACAUACUAGUUCCGAAAUGGUGGUCCAAUAAAUUUUACAAGGGCACUUUCUCGAACUGGCCUGUUGGAGUUAGUCGUUACGAGUUCGAUCAAAUUAGGGCAAAUUAUGAGCGCCUUUAUGUUUUCAUUUCGUGAUUUGUAAUUGAAGGCGCCCGUUGGCAGAGUUUAUUUCACCGGAGAGCAUACUAGCGAGAACUACAACGGUUACGUUCAUGGGGCAUACCUUGCAGGUAUUGACUCUGCAAACAUUCUGAUUAACUGUGCUAAGAACAAAAUGUGCAACUACGACAUCAAGCCUUAAGGGUGAUCAUACUGCAUCAAAUCAAUGUCAUGUUGAGGAGUUUGUGGGUCUCAUUCAUAUAUGUAAUAUAUUGUUAGAUGGAAAUUAUAGGUAGACUCGUGAUGUUUUUAGUUUGAGUGUUGCUUGGUAAGCUCCGCCGGAGAAGGCCAAAAUGAAUGUUAGCUGCGCCUUGGUGUGGGGUUUUGAUGCAGAAAUUUAUGUAUUUGGGCUACAAAAUUUUUUAUUGAUCAAAAGUGCUAAUCACCAAAGUUUCCUGCAAGACUUGUAGGUCGGGACUUGACAGCUUAGUUCCCAUCUAAUAUACUCUGUCUCAGGAAUGGUGAUGCUUUUAUCUUUCUAAUU